AUAACAUUUAAAAACCAAAAAGAGUACAAAUUUUAUUAGAAAUACAAAGUUAAAAUAUGAUCCUUUUAUUCGAACUUGAUGUCACCUACCAGAGUUGACCACAUCUCAAAAUAAUAAACGACAUAAAAUAGAGUCUUUAGAUAUGGCAUCUGCUUCACUCCAAGACAAUAAAUACAACCUAUAGAAGUUGAAAUUUAAAACAUAUAGAGUCAGGGAAGGAAAAUACAAAAAACAAAAGGGUAUGUUUUGAAAACAUUUAAUAGUAGAAAUUAAAUUAGAAAACACACAAAAUAACAAGUAAAUAUCAUAUCAUUCACCACACAAAUAAUUAAGGAUCGUCGAUAUAUAAUGAUAUUUCAAUUCACAAUGUCUAAAUGAGACAAUCACAAAUCAAGAUUAAGUACCUAUAUACUUAAACUCUAAUUCUUAUAAUUUGGUUCCAUUAUAUUCUACAAAGGUUCAUGCCUAUCUCUAUGGUACUGCAUUGCUGAUUCAUGAGAUUAUCACAUCUCUCUAGUGAUAUUGCACCACAUCAUGUGUGAUAUUUAUCUCUAGUGAUACCACAUCAUACAAACCCAAGGAAUUCACAUGCUUCUAUACUAUGAGUAUUUUUCUCUCUAGCUAUACCUCACGUGGUUUAUUCUCUCUAGUGAUAGUGCACCACAUCUAGUAUAAUACAUCUCUAGUGAUAUUACAUCGUACCAACCAUAUGAAUUAGAUACUUAUAAAUUGAGAGUGUGCUUAUUUCUAAUCAUACUUCACCAUAUGAUCGCUUUUCUCUUGUGAUAUUGCGUCACAUCUGAUAUGAUACUUUUUUCUAGUUAUAUUGUAUCAUAGCAACCUUAUAAAUUAGAUACAACUCAAACAUCACUUAGGCUUGUCAGAACAUACCUAGUUUUUGUGAAAAUAAUCUCCACUUCAAGGCCCCAAACAUUUAAUCCCUCUCCUCAUUAACUUAAGAGCAUCAUUUGCAGCAUCAUUUGGAUCUAUCACUAUUUCAAUAUCUACGAGGUAAUCAUAAAAAUAUAUAUACAUCUCAAGUUGAUAACAACAAAAUCAUUACUCAUGUACUAUUAUCUCAUAAUAUCUUAUCCCUCAUCACUUACAAGCAUUUCACAUGUAUAAAUUAUCAAACAAUUCAAAUAAUAAUAUCAAACUAUUAAGACAAUUCAAGAGUAAAACACGAAUUUUCACAAUUGUAUUAAUGAAAAACCAUUUAAAAUAAUUUAAAUCAAUCAAAACCUUAAUAAAGUUUCUAACUCGUAUUUUAAGCCUACGUUUCCAGAUUUUCACAUUAGACCAUUUUCAGUUAAAGUACUAUGACCAUUUGUAGCGAUCCACGAUGAAAUUGUUGAAAAUACUGGUUUUCCCAUUCAUCACACUUAUUUUACACUAUGAAUUUGAAAUCAUUUUCACCCCAUACCUGUUUUUGAUGCAUUUUCAAACGCUAAUCCUUGUCUCGGCGCAAAAAUCUAUUGUCCCAUUAUAGGACGAGAAAAUGGCAACAUUUGUUUUUUUACACAAUUGAUUAGCACCAAAUAUAAUUUCUGUACAUUUUCUUGCAUGACUUCCAUCUAAAAUAUGUCUGUUGUGGCAUCUUCAUUUUUUUUUUUAGGAAACAUCUUCAUUUUCUUUAUAUUCUCUUAUUGUUGUUCUCUCUCUAGUAGAUUAGUUUUUUUUCUCUCUCACUUGACACAUGUGCCAAAAACUUAUUCAAACACACACAAACACACUCACACACCCGCACCUAUAUUAUUUUUCUUUUCUCCCUUGUUUUCAAGAAACAUGGACCAAUAACAUAAACACGAAUAAUUACUUAUUUUAUUCCUCUACUCAAAUUAAAACAAUAUUCUCAAAAUACUCAUACUAAAAUACGCAUUUUAGACAAUAAUUAAAAUAAUAGCUAUGAAUUCUUACUAGAUUCUAAAACACCACCUUCCAGCCCAAAUCCAAAUCUCUCUUUCACAAUGUAGCUUUUGAUGAGAGAAAUGUCUACUCAUCACUUGUGGCAACUCCUCCAUCAAAUCCCAUUCGGGCUCGGUCAAAACAUGCACAGAAUGAAAUAGGUUUUUUUAUUUAUUUUAUUCUUACUUAUUUUUGUUUUAAACUCUUAUUUUGUGCAUCAUCUGAUGGAUAAAAUGUUGGUUGUUCAAUUUAAAUCAAAGUCAGUCAAGGAAUUCAUAUGAGUUUUUAUCAGAAGUUGUUUCUAGACGAAGAUAAUGAGAUUGUUAAUUAACAUUGGUGAUCUGAUUUGUUGUUGUUUUUAGUUUGUGGCUAACUUGUCGUAAUGUUUUGCACAUCAGUUUAUUGCCGAUCAAUAACAUAUGCGAACCUCCUUAACUUUACAGAGGUUUUCUUGGUUAGCGAAUGUUUGGUGAUUUUUGGGAUUCGAGCCGUCAGAUCUUUGGCGGGAGUGUUAGUUGUUUGUUGGUUUCUAAUUGUUUAUUUGGUUUUAGUUCUAGAUUCUCAAUGACGAUGAUUCACGCCAUCAUCGUUGUUGUUCAAGUCACUGUUUUACGAAAGUUGGACAAAUGAUUGUUAGGCUAGAAAUAUCCAUGAAUACUUGUUUGUUUGUUGCAAUGGGUUGUCGGUGAGUGAACAUGUUUCCCGUAUUGACGUUCGGGUUCACUCGUCCCUCUCAAGAUCUUGGUUCAGUGCUGGUAAACAGUCAUAAACCUCUUUUUAUUUUAAUUUGGUUUCAUGCUCAUACGCGUCAGGUUUGGUAAAUUGCGCAUUUGUGCGCAAUAGUUUGCUUGAUUCAUACUUAGAUUUGUAAUUAAUUGACCUUUAGGACUGUUAUGUAUCACCUAUUUGGGUGUUUAUUAUUUGUUUUACUUUAAUCUACGUAAGAUGUUGCGGAUCUAUCUGCACCAAGAAGGUGACGAUCACAGAGGAUGAGGGCAGCGCCGUUACCGAAGGUGAACUUGGGUUUGGCUUCCAUCGGUUAUGCAGGAUAGGUUUUGAAUGGAAUACAAAUCGACUACAGGGAGACAUGUUUAUUAAUUAAAUGGGUGUUUUAAUCUCAACCCUCUAUUUUAAUCUAAUGGUUUGAGAUUUGUUCUCAUAUUCUCAUAUGUAAGAAAGACAUUAUAUAUAUAUAUAUAUAUAUGAGUCAGGAUCCGUUGACACCAAAUCCUGACCGUCCAUAUCAUUUGAU
RNAcentral lists this long non-coding RNA (3157 nucleotides) under Medicago truncatula (barrel medic). Its description in RNAcentral is "long non-coding RNA (MTRU_LNC004832)". Lineage: Eukaryota; Viridiplantae; Streptophyta; Magnoliopsida; Fabales; Fabaceae. The record is from RNAcentral.